AACGAACGCUGGCGGCAGGCCUAACACAUGCAAGUCGAGCGCCCCGCAAGGGGAGCGGCGGACGGGUGAGUACCGCGUGGGAACGUACCCUUUGCUACGGAAUAGCCUCGGGAAACUGGGAGUAAUACCGUAUGUGUCCUUCGGGAGAAAGAUUUAUCGGCAAGGGAUCGGCCCGCGUUGGAUUAGGUAGUUGGUGGGGUAAUGGCCUACCAAGCCGACGAUCCAUAGCUGGUUUGAGAGGAUGAUCAGCCACACUGGGACUGAGACACGGCCCAGACUCCUACGGGAGGCAGCAGUGGGGAAUCUUAGACAAUGGGCGCAAGCCUGAUCUAGCCAUGCCGCGUGAGCGAUGAAGGCCUUAGGGCUGUAAAGCUCUUUCAGGGGGGAAGAUAAUGACUGUACCCCCAGAAGAAGCCCCGGCUAACUCCGUG
This 431-nucleotide ribosomal RNA is filed under the name uncultured bacterium. RNAcentral's name for it is "partial 16S ribosomal RNA". It matches the Rfam family "Bacterial small subunit ribosomal RNA", at positions 29 to 507 of the family's 1533-position model. The record is from RNAcentral.